UGAGUUAUGUCAUGUUAUCGAUAUGUGAAUACAUAGCAUAUCAGAAGGCACACCCGGAGAACUGAAACAUCUUAGUACCCGGAGGAAGAGAAAGAAAAUUCGAUUCCCUUAGUAGCGGCGAGCGAAAUGGGAAGAGCCCAAACCAACAAGCUUGCUUGUUGGGGUUGUAGGACACUCUAUACGGAGUUACAAAGGACGACAUUAGACGAAUCAUCUGGAAAGAUGAAUCAAAGAAGGUAAUAAUCCUGUAGUCGAAAAUGUUGUCUCUCUUGAGUGGAUCCUGAGUACGACGGAGCACGUGAAAUUCCGUCGGAAUCUGGGAGGACCAUCUCCUAAGGCUAAAUACUCUCUAGUGACCGAUAGUGAACCAGUACCGUGAGG
This 381-nucleotide ribosomal RNA is filed under the name Xanthomonas citri pv. citri. Its description in RNAcentral is "partial 23S ribosomal RNA". It matches the Rfam family "Bacterial large subunit ribosomal RNA", at positions 134 to 508 of the family's 2925-position model. Lineage: Bacteria; Pseudomonadati; Pseudomonadota; Gammaproteobacteria; Lysobacterales; Lysobacteraceae. The record is from RNAcentral.